CGCGUAGGCGGAUUGGAAAGUCAGAUGUGAAAUCCUGGGGCUCAACCCCAGAACAGCAUUUGAAACUCCCAAUCUAGAGGAUAGGCGGAGAAAAUGGAAUUCCACAAGUAGCGGUGAAAUGCGUAGAUAUGUGGAAGAACACCAGUGGCGAAAGCGGUUUUCUAGCUUAAACCUGACGCUGAGGCGCGAAAGUAAGGGGAUCAAACA
This 207-nucleotide ribosomal RNA is filed under the name uncultured bacterium. Its description in RNAcentral is "partial 16S ribosomal RNA". It matches the Rfam family "Bacterial small subunit ribosomal RNA", at positions 568 to 774 of the family's 1533-position model. The record is from RNAcentral.